This 245-nucleotide long non-coding RNA is filed under the name Trifolium pratense (red clover). RNAcentral's name for it is "long non-coding RNA (TPRA_LNC012691)". The record is from RNAcentral. Lineage: Eukaryota; Viridiplantae; Streptophyta; Magnoliopsida; Fabales; Fabaceae.
AUUAUUUUGGUGAUCAUACUAUUGGAUUUUGGGUAAGAGUACUAAUUCAUCUUUUCUUUUCUUUUCUUUUUCUUUUUUUAUAAGAAAAAAUUGUCUUGUUAAUUAGGUAGGAGUUUAUAAUUGUUUUUAUUUUAUGAUUUAUGAUGAGGAGCUUUGUAAAAGUGAAUGAAAGUUCAAUAUAUAUAUAUGUACCUUUUUUAUUGAGCAACCACACUUUUGUACUGUUCUUAAAUCUUUUGGACUCC